RNAcentral lists this unclassified non-coding RNA (174 nucleotides) under uncultured Talaromyces. RNAcentral describes it as "sequence contains ITS1". The record is from RNAcentral. Lineage: Eukaryota; Fungi; Ascomycota; Eurotiomycetes; Eurotiales; Trichocomaceae.
CCGAGUGCGGGCCCUCGCGGCCCAACCUCCCACACUUGUCUAUACACAUGUUGCUUUGGCGGGCCCACCGGGGCCACCUGGUCGCCGGGGGACAUCGUCCCCGGGCCCGCGCCCGCCGAAGCGCCCUGUGAACCCUGAUGAAGAUGGGCUGUCUGAGUACUAUGAAAAUUGUCA